UUGGGAGAAAUCCUACCACAGGUGGUGCAUGGCCGUCGUCAGCUCGUGUUGUGAGAUGUUGGGUUAAGUCCCGCAACGAGCGCAACCCUUGUCCUUAUUUGCUUCCUCGUAUGAGGUGCUCUAUAAGGAGACUGCCGGCGACAAGCCGGAGGAAGGAGGGGACGACGUCAGGUCAGUAUGCCCUUUAUGCCCUGGGCUACACAGGCGCUACAGUGGCAAGGACAAUGAGUAGCGAGAGCGCAAGCUCGAGCUAAUCUCACAAACCUUGUCGUGGUGCGAAUUGAAGGUUGAAACUCACCUUCAUGAAGACGGAAUCGGUAGUAAUGGCGUAUCAGCUAUGUCGCCGUGAAUACGUUCCCGGGCCUUGCACACACCGCCCGUCACGCCACGGAAGCUGGUGUUUUCGGAAGUCCUCAAGCUAACCCGCAAGGGAGGCAGAGGCCGAUGAAAACAUCGGUAACUGGGGCGAAGUCGUAACAAGGUAGCCGUAGGGGAACCUGC
This 501-nucleotide ribosomal RNA is filed under the name uncultured Aquificales bacterium. RNAcentral's name for it is "bacterial SSU rRNA". It matches the Rfam family "Bacterial small subunit ribosomal RNA", at positions 1017 to 1515 of the family's 1533-position model. Lineage: Bacteria; Pseudomonadati; Aquificota; Aquificia; Aquificales. The record is from RNAcentral.